This 305-nucleotide ribosomal RNA is filed under the name uncultured bacterium. Its description in RNAcentral is "bacterial SSU rRNA". It matches the Rfam family "Bacterial small subunit ribosomal RNA", at positions 338 to 660 of the family's 1533-position model. The record is from RNAcentral.
CCUACGGGACGCAGCAGUGGGGAAUAUUGCACAAUGGGGGAAACCCUGAUGCAGCAACGCCGCGUGAGUGAAGAAGUAUUUCGGUAUGUAAAGCUCUAUCAGCAGGGAAGAAGAUGACGGUACCUGAUUAAGAAGCCCCGGCUAACUACGUGCCAGCAGCCGCGGUAAUACGUAGGGGGCAAGCGUUAUCCGGAUUUACUGGGUGUAAAGGGCGUGUAGGCGGGAGGGCAAGUCAGAUGUGAAAACUCAGGGCUCAACCCUGAGCCUGCAUUUGAAACUGUGUUUCUUGAGUGCUGGAGAGGCAA